UGAACGCUGGCGGCGUGCUUAACACAUGCAAGUCGACGGGGUUUUAAAUGGAAGCCUCGGGUGGAAGUUAGAAACUAGUGGCGGACGGGUGAGUAACGCGUGGGUAACCUGCCUCAUACAGGGGGAUAACAGUCGGAAACGAUUGCUAAAACCGCAUAAUAUAGCGAAACCGCAUGAUUUUUGCUAUCAAAUAUUUAUAGGUAUGAGAUGGGCCCGCGUCUGAUUAGCUAGUUGGUGGGGUAAUGGCCUACCAAGGCGACGAUCAGUAGCCGGCUUGAGAGAGUGACCGGCCACAUUGGGACUGAGACACGGCCCAAACUCCUACGGGAGGCAGCAGUGGGGAAUAUUGGACAAUGGGGGAAACCCUGAUCCAGCCGACGCCGCGUGAGUGAAGAAGUAUUUCGGUAUGUAAAGCUCUAUCAGCAGGGAAGAUAAUGACAGUACCUGACUAAGAAGCCCCGGCUAACUACGUGCCAGCCGCCGC
RNAcentral lists this ribosomal RNA (484 nucleotides) under uncultured bacterium. Its description in RNAcentral is "bacterial SSU rRNA". It matches the Rfam family "Bacterial small subunit ribosomal RNA", at positions 30 to 518 of the family's 1533-position model. The record is from RNAcentral.